RNAcentral lists this ribosomal RNA (433 nucleotides) under uncultured bacterium. Its description in RNAcentral is "partial 16S ribosomal RNA". It matches the Rfam family "Bacterial small subunit ribosomal RNA", at positions 29 to 507 of the family's 1533-position model. The record is from RNAcentral.
AACGAACGCUGGCGGCAUGCCUAACACAUGCAAGUCGAACGAGACCUUCGGGUCUAGUGGCGCACGGGUGCGUAACGCGUGGGAACCUGCCCUUAGGUUCGGAAUAACUCCCCGAAAGGGGUGCUAAUACCGGAUAAUGUCUUCGGACCAAAGAUUUAUUGCCUUUGGAUGGGCCCGCGUUGGAUUAGCUAGUUGGUAGGGUAAAAGCCUACCAAGGCGACGAUCCAUAGCUGGUCUGAGAGGAUGAUCAGCCACACUGGGACUAGGACACGGCCCAGACUCCUACGGGAGGCAGCAGUGGGGGAUAGUGGACAAUGGGCGAAAGCCUGAUCCAGCAAUGCCGCGUGAGUGAUGAAGGCCUUAGGGUUGUAAAGCUCUUUUACCCGGGAUGAUAAUGACAGUACCGGGAGAAUAAGCUCCGGCUAACUCCGUG